UAAGACGAACCGUCCAAACGUUAUUCGGAAUUACUGGGCUUAAAGGGUGCGUAGGCUGUUCGGAAAGUUGGGUGUGAAAUACCUCAGCUUAACUGAGGAACUGCGCUCAAAACUACCGUGCUCGAGGGAGACAGAGGUAAGCGGAACUUAGGGUGGAGCGGUGAAAUGCGUUGAUAUCCUAAGGAACACCGGUGGCGAAAGCGGCUUACUGGGUCUCUUCUGACGCUGAGGCGCGAAAGCUAGGGGAGCAAACGGGAUUAGAUACCCC
RNAcentral lists this ribosomal RNA (268 nucleotides) under uncultured bacterium. RNAcentral describes it as "partial 16S ribosomal RNA". It matches the Rfam family "Bacterial small subunit ribosomal RNA", at positions 521 to 788 of the family's 1533-position model. The record is from RNAcentral.